This 399-nucleotide ribosomal RNA is filed under the name uncultured bacterium. RNAcentral describes it as "bacterial SSU rRNA". It matches the Rfam family "Bacterial small subunit ribosomal RNA", at positions 359 to 775 of the family's 1533-position model. The record is from RNAcentral.
GAAUAUUGGACAAUGGGCGCAAGCCUGAUCCAGCCAUGCCGCGUGAGUGAUGAAGGCCCUAGGGUUGUAAAGCUCUUUCAACGGUGAAGAUAAUGACGGUACCCGCAGAAUAAGCCCCGGCUAACUUCGUGCCAGCAGCCGCGGUAAUACGAAGGGGGCUAGCGUUGUUCGGAAUCACUGGGCGUAAAGCGCACGUAGGCGGAUGUGUCAGUCAGGGGUGAAAUCCCGGAGCUCAACUUCGGAACUGCCUCUGAUACAGCACGUCUUGAGUCCGGAAGAGGUGGGUGGAAUUCCUAGUGUAGAGGUGAAAUUCGUAGAUAUUAGGAAGAACACCAGUGGCGAAGGCGGCCCACUGGUCCGGUACUGACGCUGAGGUGCGAAAGCGUGGGGAGCAAACAG